ACUCAAAUGAAUUGACGGGGGCCCGCACAAGCAGCGGAGCGUGUGGUUUAAUUCGAGGCUACGCGAAGAACCUUACCUGGGUUUGACAUCCUCUGAACGAAGGUGAAAGCCGGAGGUUCCCGCAAGGGACAGAGAGACAGGUGCUGCAUGGCUGUCGUCAGCUCGUGUCGUGAGAUGUUCGGUUAAGUCCGAAAACGAGCGCAACCCUCGGCGUAUGUUACAGGUGUCAUACGCGACUGCCCUCGGCAAGGGGGAGGAAGGUGGGGAUGACGUCAAGUCAGCAUGGCCUUUAUAUCCAGGGCUACACACACGCUACAAUGGGCAGUACAGUGGGAAGCGAGGCGGUGACGCGGAGCGGAUCCUAAAAAGCUGUUCGUAGUUCGGAUUGCAGGCUGCAACUCGCCUGCAUGAAGUCGGAGUUGCUAGUAACCGCAAAUCAGCACGUUGCGGUGAAUACGUUCCCGGGCCUUGCACACACCGCCCGU
RNAcentral lists this ribosomal RNA (485 nucleotides) under uncultured bacterium. RNAcentral's name for it is "partial 16S ribosomal RNA". It matches the Rfam family "Bacterial small subunit ribosomal RNA", at positions 899 to 1397 of the family's 1533-position model. The record is from RNAcentral.